Molecule: ribosomal RNA, 394 nt
Filed under: uncultured bacterium
Lineage: Bacteria
Description: bacterial SSU rRNA
Rfam family: Bacterial small subunit ribosomal RNA
Source: RNAcentral
AUUGAACGCUAGCGGCAUGCCUAACACAUGCAAGUCGAACGGCAGCACAGUAUAGGGCAACCUAUAUGGGUGGCGAGUGGCGGACGGGUGAGUAAUGCGUAGGAAUCUUCCUUUUAAUGGGGGACAACCCGGGGAAACUCGGGCUAAUACCGCAUAAUCUCUGUUACUGUAAUAGUAGUAGAGCAAAGGGGGCCUCUGAAUAUGCUCUCGUUAUGAGAUGAGCCACGUCGGAUUAGCUAGUUGGUGGGGUAAAGGCCUACCAAGGCGACGAUCCGUAGCUGGUCUGAGAGGACGAUCAGCCACACUGGGACUGAGACACGGCCCAGACUCCUACGGGAGGCAGCAGUGGGGAAUAGUUGGACAACGGGCGAAAGCCUGAUCCAGCAAUGCCGCG